UGACGAGAUUUCUCGUCGAGGUGAAAAGAGUGACAGACAAGACGAAACAAUAUGUAAACAUUGUAAGAAAAAAAUGCCGU
Long non-coding RNA from Etheostoma spectabile (orangethroat darter), 80 nucleotides. RefSeq lists it as uncharacterized. The record is from RefSeq and is a predicted model, not a curated record. The transcript is spliced from 3 exons. Lineage: Eukaryota; Metazoa; Chordata; Actinopteri; Perciformes; Percidae.